UGCAUUAACUUCUUUUCCAUUUCUAUUCUCAGUUCACUUUGAAGGUGAUCCUGCACCUGUGCUAACUCCAGAGGCUCUCCUAGAGAACACAUCCAUGACGUUCCGUCAUUCCCAGGAGCUGCCCUGCCUGAGAAUAAGGUCCAAGCUGAUAAGACUCUAGCAUGGAGGACUUCUCCAUAGCAACCGGGCAUCCUAUGCUGCUGUGCGACCAGCACGCUAGUUUCAUACUAGAGGUUCCAAACAUAGAAGUUAACUAGUGAGAUCAAAAUAAAGACAUAUAAACUCAA
Marmota flaviventris (yellow-bellied marmot) is the source of this 287-nucleotide non-coding RNA. The record is from RefSeq and is a predicted model, not a curated record. Lineage: Eukaryota; Metazoa; Chordata; Mammalia; Rodentia; Sciuridae.